UACGAAGGGGGCUAGCGUUGCUCGGAAUCACUGGGCGUAAAGGGUGCGUAGGCGGCGCGGUAAGUCGGGUGUGAAAUCUCGGGGCUUAACUCCGAAACUGCAUUCGAUACUGCCGUGCUUGAGGACUGGAGAGGAGACUGGAAUUUACGGUGUAGCGGUGAAAUGCGUAGAUAUCGUAAGGAAGACCAGUGGCGAAGGCGGGUCUCUGGACAGUUCCUGACGCUGAGGCACGAAGGUCAGGGGAGCAAACGGG
RNAcentral lists this ribosomal RNA (253 nucleotides) under uncultured bacterium. Its description in RNAcentral is "partial 16S ribosomal RNA". It matches the Rfam family "Bacterial small subunit ribosomal RNA", at positions 524 to 776 of the family's 1533-position model. The record is from RNAcentral.